RNAcentral lists this long non-coding RNA (885 nucleotides) under Musa acuminata (dwarf banana). RNAcentral's name for it is "long non-coding RNA (MACU_LNC002760)". Lineage: Eukaryota; Viridiplantae; Streptophyta; Magnoliopsida; Zingiberales; Musaceae. The record is from RNAcentral.
CUCUAAUAGUUGUAGCACCAGAGAAUGAUUCUGCAAAAUGAUGAAGGAUUGGAGAUCUUUGAAUUUCUGACAACCGAGCCAAUUCUCUUGCGGUCGGUAUGUAGUAUUGCUGCAUCAGCCAUUGUCAAGAAUUCAAUCUUCAAAUCACCAAAAUGAUUUAGUCAACCAUUAUACCUGAAUAUCUAACUAUGGUUAAGUUGAUUUCUGUACACCUGUACACAGAUCUACUUUUGCUUAUUGCAUGUCAUAUAUAAUGGCAGACAAAAUCAUGGCAAACUAAAUUUUAAAAAAUAAUAUUAAUAACUGGUCAAAUUAUUCCUUUUAAAAUUCUAGCAUUUCUGGUGGGACCAAUAUCUGAUUGUGAUAAUGAAUCUUGAUGUUUGUUUUUUUUUCUUUUGAGUGAGAGAGUGCUCUUACUUGAUACCAUAUACAGAUUGCUGAUACUGGAAUGAGUAUUGCAAAAGUUGGCCAAGCAACCUGUGACAUAACUGCAAUGGUCCCUAGGAUCUGUAUAACUGAAAAUGCACACCACGCCAACCUUGCUGCUAAUUCUAAGUCAAGCACACUUUGAUCUGUCGAGGCCUACAUGAAAUUUACAAAUAAUCAAUUAGUCAUCUUAAGCACAAUGUUCUAUGAAUAUAUAUGAUGCAGGAGCUACAUGAAUGAGAGAUUAAACUAAGUACUAACCCUGUUUAAGAUCCUCCCAGAAGGCGUUGAAUCAAAGAAGGACAUUGGAGCACGGAGAACAGAGUGGAGCAUCUUUUGGAAAAAUUUUUGAGAUGUCAAAAGGCCAACUUUUAUAAGUAUUGUUGCUCGGAUCAACGAACACAGUGAACAUCCAACUGAAAGAAGCACAUACACCAGAAAGAGAAACUUGAGCCCCAC